CAAUAGCGUAUAUUAAUGUUGUUGCAGUUAAAAAGCUCGUAGUUGGAUAUCUGGCCUUUGCGUUGACGACCCGCCCUCUUUUGGGAUGAGCGUUGGAGACGUGGGUCUAUUUUCCGGUUGGUGUCCAUUCCACUUUAUUGGGGCGUGGUUCACGAUCCGGAUCGUUUACUUUGAAAAAAUUCGAGUGUUCAUAGCAGGCUUACGCCGUGAAGAUCGCAGCAUGGAAUAAUAACAUAGGACUUGGCGUUCUAUUUUGUUGGUCCUGGAACCUAAGUAAUGAUUGAUAGGGACAGUUGGGGGUGCUGCUAUAGACUGGCCAGAGGUGAAAUUCUAAGACUCAGUCUAGAGCAACUUAUGCGAAAGCAUUCACCAAGGAUGUCUUCUUUAA
Molecule: ribosomal RNA, 388 nt
Filed under: uncultured eukaryote
Lineage: Eukaryota
Description: partial 18S ribosomal RNA
Rfam family: Eukaryotic small subunit ribosomal RNA
Source: RNAcentral